UACGGGGGGGGUAAGCGUUGUUCGGAAUUACUGGGCGUAAAGGGCUCGUAGGCGGCCAACUAAGUCAUACGUGAAAUCCCUCAGCUUAACUGGGGAACUGCGUGUGAUACUGGAUGGCUUGGAUUUGGGAGAGGGAUGCGGAAUUCCAGGUGUAGCGGUGAAAUGCGUAGAUAUCUGGAGGAACACCGGUGGCGAAGGCAGGUCUCUGGGCUGAAACUGACGCUCAUGCACGAAAGCGUGGGGAGCAAACAGG
Molecule: ribosomal RNA, 253 nt
Filed under: uncultured bacterium
Lineage: Bacteria
Description: partial 16S ribosomal RNA
Rfam family: Bacterial small subunit ribosomal RNA
Source: RNAcentral